ACGGGGAGCACCACAACGGGUGGAGCCUGCGGUUUAAUUGGACUCAACGCCGGGCAGCUCACCGGAUAAGACAGCUGAAUGAUAGUCGGGCUGAAGACUCUACUUGACUAGCUGAGAGGAGGUGCAUGGCCGUCGUCAGUUCGUACUGUGAAGCAUCCUGUUAAGUCAGGCAACGAGCGAGACCCACGCCAACAGUUGCCAGCUCGUCCUCCGGGAUGGUGGGGACACUGUUGGGACCGCCUCUGCUAAAGAGGAGGAAGGAAUGGGCAACGGUAGGUCAGCAUGCCCCGAAUUAUCUGGGCUACACGCGGGCUACAAUGGGUGGGACAAUGGGUAUCGACACCGAAAGGUGAAGGCAAUCUCCUAAACCCAUCCGUAGUUCGGAUUGUGGGCUGCAACUCGCCCACAUGAAGCUGGAAUCUGUAGUAAUCGUGUCUCAAAAUGGCACGGUGAAUAUGUCCCUGCUCCUU
RNAcentral lists this ribosomal RNA (470 nucleotides) under uncultured Methanomicrobiales archaeon. RNAcentral describes it as "bacterial SSU rRNA". It matches the Rfam family "Archaeal small subunit ribosomal RNA", at positions 871 to 1337 of the family's 1478-position model. Lineage: Archaea; Methanobacteriati; Methanobacteriota; Methanomicrobia; Methanomicrobiales. The record is from RNAcentral.